UAGGGAAUCUUCGGCAAUGGACGAAAGUCUGACCGAGCAACGCCGCGUGAGUGAAGAAGGUUUUCGGAUCGUAAAACUCUGUUGUUAGAGAAGAACAAGGACGUUAGUAACUGAACGUCCCCUGACGGUAUCUAACCAGAAAGCCACGGCUAACUACGUGCCAGCAGCCGCGGUAAUACGUAGGUGGCAAGCGUUGUCCGGAUUUAUUGGGCGUAAAGCGAGCGCAGGCGGUUUCUUAAGUCUGAUGUGAAAGCCCCCGGCUCAACCGGGGAGGGUCAUUGGAAACUGUUAGACCUGGGUGCAGAAGAGGAGAGUGUAUUUCCAUGUGUAGCGCUCAAAUGCGUAGAUAUCUGGAGGAACACCAGUGGCGAAGGCGGCUCUCUAGUCUGUAACUGACGCUGAGGCUCGAAAGCGUGGGGAUCAAACAGG
This 429-nucleotide ribosomal RNA is filed under the name Gemmatimonadota bacterium. RNAcentral's name for it is "Gemmatimonadetes bacterium partial 16S ribosomal RNA". It matches the Rfam family "Bacterial small subunit ribosomal RNA", at positions 355 to 776 of the family's 1533-position model. The record is from RNAcentral. Lineage: Bacteria; Pseudomonadati; Gemmatimonadota.